GACGAACGCUGGCGGCGUGCUUAACACAUGCAAGUCGAACGGAAAGGCCCUGCUUUUGUGGGGUGCUCGAGUGGCGAACGGGUGAGUAACACGUGAGUAACCUGCCCUUGACUUUGGGAUAACUUCAGGAAACUGGGGCUAAUACCGGAUAGGAGCUCCUGAUGCAUGGUGGGGGUUGGAAAGUUUCGGCGGUUGGGGAUGGACUCGCGGCUUAUCAGCUUGUUGGUGGGGUAGUGGCUUACCAAGGCUUUGACGGGUAGCCGGCCUGAGAGGGUGACCGGCCACAUUGGGACUGAGAGACGGCCCAGACUCCUACGGGAGGCAGCAGUGGGGAAUAUUGCACAAUGGGCGGAAGCCUGAUGCAGCAACGCCGCGUGCGGGAUGACGGCCUUCGGGUUGUAAACCGCUUUCGCCUGUGACGAAGCGUGAGUGACGGUAAUGGGUAAAGAAGCACCGGCUAACUACGUG
This 468-nucleotide ribosomal RNA is filed under the name uncultured bacterium. Its description in RNAcentral is "partial 16S ribosomal RNA". It matches the Rfam family "Bacterial small subunit ribosomal RNA", at positions 28 to 507 of the family's 1533-position model. The record is from RNAcentral.